UACGAAGGGGGCUAGCGUUGUUCGGAAUUACUGGGCGUAAAGGGCGCGUAGGCGGCGUGUCAAGUCAGGCGUGAAAGCCCCGGGCUCAACCUGGGAACCGCGCUUGAGACUGGCAUGCUCGAGUUCGGGAGAGGAUGGUGGAAUUCCCAGUGUAGAGGUGAAAUUCGUAGAUAUUGGGAAGAACACCAGUGGCGAAGGCGGCUCACUGGCUCGGUACUGACGCUGAGGCGCGAAAGCGUGGGGAGCAAACAGG
This 253-nucleotide ribosomal RNA is filed under the name uncultured bacterium. RNAcentral describes it as "partial 16S ribosomal RNA". It matches the Rfam family "Bacterial small subunit ribosomal RNA", at positions 524 to 776 of the family's 1533-position model. The record is from RNAcentral.